GAUUAAGUUAUUAAGGGCGCACGGUGGAUGCCUUGGCACUAGAAGCCGAUGAAGGACGUUACUAACGACGAUAUGCUUUGGGGAGCUGUAAGUAAGCUUUGAUCCAGAGAUUUCCGAAUGGGGAAACCCAGCAUGAGUUAUGUCAUGUUAUCGAUAUGUGAAUACAUAGCAUAUCAGAAGGCACACCCGGAGAACUGAAACAUCUUAGUACCCGGAGGAAGAGAAAGAAAAUUCGAUUCCCUUAGUAGCGGCGAGCGAAACGGGAAGAGCCCAAACCAACAAGCUUGCUUGUUGGGGUUGUAGGACACUCUAUACGGAGUUACAAAGGACGACAUUAGACGAAUCAUCUGGAAAGAUGAAUCAAAGAAGGUAAUAAUCCUGUAGUCGAAAAUGUUGUCUCUCUUGAGUGGAUCCUGAGUACGACGGAGCACGUGAAAUUCCGUCGGAAUCUGGGAGGACCAUCUCCUAAGGCUAAAUA
Molecule: ribosomal RNA, 478 nt
Filed under: Staphylococcus aureus
Lineage: Bacteria; Bacillati; Bacillota; Bacilli; Caryophanales; Staphylococcaceae
Description: partial 23S ribosomal RNA
Rfam family: Bacterial large subunit ribosomal RNA
Source: RNAcentral